CGAAGGGAAGGUAUUAGCACCCCUACGCAUCCGUCGUACUCGACGGGAUCCACGCACAAAAGAGUAGAAGAAAGGUUGCUAAAGCUUGCUCACAAACUGCACAAGGCUGGAAGGAAACGCCGAAAGACAAAAGAAACGGGACUCGGCAGGAUAUCGCAUCCUGGGCCUACGUAGUCUGUCAGUCACAGACAUCAGAGUCGACGUAGUUCGGGACAGGGGAAACGUACUCGCUAGGAUGUCG
This 241-nucleotide long non-coding RNA is filed under the name Lathyrus oleraceus (garden pea). RNAcentral's name for it is "Pisum sativum (pea) long non-coding RNA (PSAT_LNC008920)". Lineage: Eukaryota; Viridiplantae; Streptophyta; Magnoliopsida; Fabales; Fabaceae. The record is from RNAcentral.